RNAcentral lists this ribosomal RNA (301 nucleotides) under uncultured bacterium. RNAcentral's name for it is "partial 16S ribosomal RNA". It matches the Rfam family "Bacterial small subunit ribosomal RNA", at positions 509 to 807 of the family's 1533-position model. The record is from RNAcentral.
CAGUAGCCGCGGUAAUACAGAGGGUGCGAGCGUUAAUCGGAAUUACUGGGCGUAAAGCGUGCGCAGGCGGUUAUAUAAGACAGAUGUGAAAUCCCCGGGCUCAACCUGGGAACUGCAUUUGUGACUGUAUAGCUAGAGUACGGCAGAGGGGGAUGGAAUUCCGCGUGUAGCAGUGAAAUGCGUAGAUAUGCGGAGGAACACCGAUGGCGAAGGCAAUCCCCUGGGCCUGUACUGACGCUCAUGCACGAAAGCGUGGGGAGCAAACAGGAUUAGAUACCCGUGUAGUCCCUGUCUCUUAUAC